AGCUGCACUGUAAAAACUCCAACUUGCAAAUUGCAAACUUGCAAAAAAAAAGUCAGGUGAACAUUUUUUUUUUUUUUUUUAGCAAAAUGUUGAGUUUACACAUCAAAACAAGUUAACUGAAUGUUUACUAUAUUUCGCUCAAUGAACAUAAAUAAGAAAGUUGAGUAAACUCAAUAUUUUGACUUCUUCAUUUGAGUGGUUAACUUCACAUCACUGCUCAUGCGCAAAGCGCCAUCUCUGGAUUAUACACGGGGUUUGCAGCUUCAAACAUCAACAACGAUGGGGAAAAGGGAGUCUCCUUGACAAGGACACUGAGCCAGAGGAUGUCCAUCCCAGGGGAUGAAGAUGAGCAUCUUAUCUAUCACUGGAUGAUGAUGUUGCCACCAUCCACUCAAACCCAGAGAUGCAUCAAAUUCACAACCUCAUCAUCUGCAGAGAAACCAACACUCAAUCACACCAAAAUGAUGGACUUAAAGGCAUCACAGAGGAUCCUGAAGAUACAGUAUUUCACUGGAACACUGGAGCAAGUUCACAUCAAUUAAAAAAUAAAACUACCUAAUUGAAACUACAUGUUUUGUUUUGUUUUUGUGAGUGUGUAAAUCCCUAAUACAGGCUACAAUACAUUAUAAGAAAAAUAAAAACAAUAUUAAUAGA
Long non-coding RNA from Onychostoma macrolepis, 654 nucleotides. RefSeq lists it as uncharacterized. Lineage: Eukaryota; Metazoa; Chordata; Actinopteri; Cypriniformes; Cyprinidae. The transcript is spliced from 3 exons. The record is from RefSeq and is a predicted model, not a curated record.